RNAcentral lists this microRNA precursor (103 nucleotides) under Marmota monax (woodchuck). The record is from RNAcentral. Lineage: Eukaryota; Metazoa; Chordata; Mammalia; Rodentia; Sciuridae.
AGUGGUAUAGCUGGGUCAAAUAGUGGUUCCAAUCCAAGUUUUCUGAGGAAUCUUCAUAUUGCUUUCCAUAGUGGUUGUAUCAAUUUGCAGCCCUGCCAGUAAU